This is a non-coding RNA of Coniochaeta pulveracea, 72 nucleotides long. The record is from the annotation of a GenBank genome assembly. Lineage: Eukaryota; Fungi; Ascomycota; Sordariomycetes; Coniochaetales; Coniochaetaceae.
GGCCUCGUGGCGCAAUGGUAGCGCGUUGCUUUCCGGUGGCAGAGGUUCCAGGUUCGAGCCCUGGCGGGGUCG